Non-coding RNA from Homo sapiens (human), 148 nucleotides. It matches the Rfam family "Metazoan signal recognition particle RNA". Rfam says of the family: The signal recognition particle (SRP) is a universally conserved ribonucleoprotein. It is involved in the co-translational targeting of proteins to membranes. NCBI's taxonomy places the organism in Eukaryota, Metazoa, Chordata, Mammalia, Primates, Hominidae. The record is from Rfam.
GCUAGGUGUGGUGGUGCACGCCUGUGGUCCCAGCUACUCGGGAGGCUGAGGUGGGAGAAUCACUUGAGCCUAGGAGUUCGAAGCUGCAGUGAGCCAAGAUCAUGCCACUGCACUCCAGCCUGGGCAACAGAGUGAGACCCUGUCUCAA